Molecule: ribosomal RNA, 460 nt
Filed under: uncultured bacterium
Lineage: Bacteria
Description: partial 16S ribosomal RNA
Rfam family: Bacterial small subunit ribosomal RNA
Source: RNAcentral
CCUACGGGUGUCAGCAGUGAGGAAUAUUGGUCAAUGGACGAGAGUCUGAACCAGCCAAGUAGCGUGAAGGAUGACUGCCCUAUGGGUUGUAAACUUCUUUUAUAUGGGACUAAAAUGUUCCACGUGUGGGCUUUUGUAUGUACCAUAUGAAUAAGAAUCGGCUAACUCCGUGCCAGCAGCCGCGGUAAUACGGAGGAUCCGAGCGUUAUCCGGAUUUAUUGGGUUUAAAGGGAGCGUAGGUGGAUUGUUAAGUCAGUUGUGAAAGUUUGCGGCUAAACCGUAAAAUUGCAGUUGAAACUGGGAGUCUUGAGUACAGGAGAGGUGGGCGGAAUUCGUGGUGUAGCGGUGAAAUGCAUAGAUAUCACGAAGAACUCCGAUUGCGAAGGCAGCUUACUGGACUGCAACUGACACUGAUGCUCGAAAGUGUGGGUAUCAAACAGGAUUAGAUACCCGUGUAGUC